GCAAGUCGAACGGAAACGAAACUAGCUUGCUAGUAGGCGUCGAGUGGCGGACGGGUGAGUAACGCGUAGGAAUCUGCCUGAUAGUGGGGGAUAGCCCGAAGAAAUUCGGAUUAAUACCGCAUAAUCUAUUCGUAGUAAAGUGGGGGACUUUCGAGCCUCACGCUAUCAGAUGAGCCUGCGUAAGAUUAGCUUGUUGGUGGGGUAAAAGCCUACCAAGGCAACGAUCUUUAGCUGGUCUGAGAGGAUGAUCAGCCACAUCGGGACUGAGACACGGCCCGAACUCCUACGGGAGGCAGCAGUGGGGAAUAUUGGACAAUGGGGGCAACCCUGAUCCAGCAAUACCGCGUGUGUGAAGAAGGCCUGAGGGUUGUAAAGCACUUUCAAUUGUGAAGAAAAGUUAACGGUUAAUAACCGUUGACCUUGACGUUAACUUUAGAAGAAGCACCGGCUAACUCCGUGCCAGCAGCCGCGGUAAUACGGAGGGUGCAAGCGUUAAUCGGAAUUACUGGGCGUAAAGCGUGCGUAGGCGGUUUAUUAAGUCAGAUGUGAAAGCCCCGGGCUUAACCUGGGAACUGCAUUUGAAACUGGUCAACUAGAGUAUGGUAGAGGAAAGUGGAAUUUCUGGUGUAGCGGUGAAAUGCGUAGAUAUCAGAAGGAACAUCAAUGGCGAAGGCAGCUUUCUGGACCAAUACUGACGCUGAGGUACGAAAGCGUGGGUAGCAAACAGGAUUAGAUACCCUGGUAGUCCACGCCGUAAACGAUGAUAACUAGCCGUUGGGGGGAUUUACCCCUUAGUGGCGAAGCUAACGCGUUAAGUUAUCC
This 822-nucleotide ribosomal RNA is filed under the name Thiotrichales bacterium SCGC AAA001-E15. Its description in RNAcentral is "SSU rRNA". It matches the Rfam family "Bacterial small subunit ribosomal RNA", at positions 57 to 870 of the family's 1533-position model. The record is from RNAcentral. Lineage: Bacteria; Pseudomonadati; Pseudomonadota; Gammaproteobacteria; Thiotrichales.